This 406-nucleotide ribosomal RNA is filed under the name uncultured bacterium. RNAcentral's name for it is "partial 16S ribosomal RNA". It matches the Rfam family "Bacterial small subunit ribosomal RNA", at positions 30 to 526 of the family's 1533-position model. The record is from RNAcentral.
AUUGAACGCUGGCGGCAGGCCUAACACAUGCAAGUCGAACGAGUGGCGGACGGGUGAGUAAUGUCUGGGAAACUGCCUGAUGGAGGGGGAUAACUACUGGAAACGGUAGCUAAUACCGCAUACCAUCAGAUGUGCCCAGAUGGGAUUAGCUAGUAGGUGGGGUAACGGCUCACCUAGGCGACGAUCCGUAGCUGGUCUGAGAGGAUGACAAGCCACACUGGAACUGAGACACGGUCCAGACUCCUACGGGAGGCAGCAGUGGGGAAUAUUGCACAAUGGGCGAAAGCCUGAUUCAGCCAUGCCGCGUGUGUGAAGAAGGCCUUCGGGUUGUAAAGCACUUUCAGCGGGGAGGCGUUACCCGCAGAAGAAGCACCGGCUAACUCCGUGCCAGCAGCCGCGGUAAUUC